Long non-coding RNA from Quercus robur (English oak), 1419 nucleotides. RefSeq lists it as uncharacterized. The record is from RefSeq and is a predicted model, not a curated record. The transcript has 3 exons. Lineage: Eukaryota; Viridiplantae; Streptophyta; Magnoliopsida; Fagales; Fagaceae.
AAUGCUAGUUGUUGCUCCGUCCAAGUCGUCUUCAAUGCUUUGCACCUACCCACAAACCACAAAACCAUCAAAACAGAGAAGGAAAGGAACUCAAAAACCCAUUAGCCGAACCUCUCUAAACCACUCCCCCCUGUUCUUCCUUCACUCGAGUGAAUCUCCUCUCCGCUGUGGACACCGUUGCCGCCGCUGUGGGUCUCCACAUUCACCGAAGGAAGUUCUAGGAAAAAUGGUUAAGGAGAAAUUGAAGGAUGGUGGUAGUAAUGAUCAGAGAGCUGAUUGGAAAGACCCUAAGGAACUACAAGCCUUUUGUCAAUUAUGUGCUGCUCAAGUCCUAGCCGGCCAGAGGAAAGGAGGGUUUCUAACCAAAGUUGGGGUUGACAACGUGAUUGAACAGUUGGGUAACAUGGGGAAAGUGGUGACUCCACUUCAGAUUAAGAAUAAAUGGGAUCAUCUGAAAAAAGGGUGGAGGGAUUAUAACCAGUGUUUUGACAAUGAGACUGGGUUGGGUUAUGACCCGGGAACUGGGAUGCUUCAGGCCCCUGAUGAGUGGUGAACUCGAAAGAUUGCGGAAUGUCCCCUUGCAAAAACCUUUAAAAAUAAAGGUUUGCCGAAUCAUGACUUCAAAAACAUCAUGUAUGGAGGCACGGUUGCAACAGGGAAAAAUGCGUUUUGCACGAGCGGUCAAUUACCAAAGGAAACCACCGAAGGUUCUGGGGACUCUGCUGAUAGCACAGAAUUUGUUGACCCCCAAUGUGAACCGUUUGUGAAUGUUGACACAAUGGAGGUUGAAGGUCCAUCAUUGUCGAGGGCAGAACCAGCAGUGAGUAAGGGGAAAGGCUUGGCAACCAAUGUCCACCUUUUCAAGCCAAUGUACAAGAAAUAAUAAAAAAAGCCUUCAGUUGCGCAAGAGAUGUCCGACUCUUUGAAGAGCAUCUCAAAUGUGAUUGUUCAGAGUAGAAGUGGAAGUACACAUAAGGAUAUUGCUUCCACAGCAACUACUCAAGUUAAAGCCAUUUUGGACAUGGUGUUGAGUCUUCCAGGGGUGUACUCGGGGCAUUACCUUCAUCUGUUUAGCACCAUCUACUUCAUGGAAAAAGAGUGGGGUAGGCACAUGUUUCUUGCCCUUGGCGAUGACAAGGAUAUCCAAUUGAAGUGGCUAGAAAAAGAGUACCAAAGGCACCCUGAAUUCCAUUUUGACUAAAGGAAAGAAAAUUGUCUCGAUAGGAACACGGGCUUGGUGUAGUAAUCGUAUUUUCAGCGUUGUACUUGUUGGACGAUUGUUUUUUUUUUUUUUUUUUUUUUUUUUUUUAUUGGUAGAACUAAAGCUUACCAUGGCUGUGUAUGUAAGACAAAAUUUAUCAUUUCUAUGUCAACUUUUGGGUAUAUUUAUAUAUGUUUUCCCAAUGCCUCUUUUAGCUA